Molecule: ribosomal RNA, 253 nt
Filed under: uncultured bacterium
Lineage: Bacteria
Description: partial 16S ribosomal RNA
Rfam family: Bacterial small subunit ribosomal RNA
Source: RNAcentral
UACGUAGGGUGCAAGCGUUGUCCGGAAUUAUUGGGCGUAAAGAGCUCGUAGGCGGUCUGUCGCGUCGGAUGUGAAAAUCCAGGGCUCAACCCUGGACCUGCAUUCGAUACGGGCAGACUAGAGUUCGGUAGGGGAGACUGGAAUUCCUGGUGUAGCGGUGAAAUGCGCAGAUAUCAGGAGGAACACCGGCGGCGAAGGCGGGUCUCUGGGCCGGUAUUGACGCUGAGGCGCGAAAGCUAGGGGAGCAAACGGG